UAGAUUCAGCGGCCGGAGGAGAAGGACGUAUAGGGUACACGUGGACGGCAGCUUGUUCCUCAUCUGUAGUGGAAGUCUUAUUUUACAGUUUUCGGCACCAUUGUUUCGGCAGAAAGGAAGGUUGGGAACAUCAAACGGACGUUACGGAGUUAGGAGUACUUGCAGCAUGCAGUUACAGCAGUGAAAAUCCAGUGAAUGCCUCCAAAUUUUCAAGCAACACUGUUUCUGAAGAUGUAUAAAGUUUGUGGCUGGGCUGCUUAAUCAACGAAGAUCUUACGGAGGUGGCUCCUGCAACCCCACCCACCCGCCAGCACAACCCAUAGAUAGUGAGUUAUGCAUUAGGGGUAACAGGUUGUACAAUAUCAUUAUUUUAGGAUUCUUGACAUGAGUUGUAGCCUCUCUAAUCAUGCAUGAACAUCCGUCAUAAAUGUCUUGUUAAUUGUUGGUUAUAAAUGCAAUAUAAAUUCAAGCCAAGAACUCUAGUUUUAAACAUUUUACUUGCUUUAUCCCAAAAAUGGCUUCAGAUAAUCUCCAACCUUCCUAAAAAUACAACUGAGUAAAAUAUGUAUGUAUAUGUAUAUUAGAUUUAACGUUCCACAGUGAGAUAAUGUUUACACACAGGCAGCCACCACUGUGCCUCUGUGAAGUUUGGACUAUGUUGGAUCAAGUUGCCACACCAAAUGGAACUAAAUUAUUUUAACUCAGUGGGGCUAGGUUACUAAUUUAGAGGCAAAUAUACUACUAUUUUUUAGGUUAUAAUAGGCAGGUGGGUUGUUUUAUUUACACCAUAGCAUCAAAACUAUUAAUUUCUAAUGAUAAAAAAAUAAAUUUGUUUUGAAAUACUGAAAAAAAAUUGCUAUACUAAAACCAAUUCAUGAAGGCACUUUGGGUGCGGUCGGCUAAGACUGUAAAAGAAAGUGAAUAUUGGCAAAUUUUUACUUAUAAAAACCGCAAAUCUCUUAGUUUUUAGCUGUUAACUACUUUGAAAUAAAAUAUAAUUACUCUG
Molecule: long non-coding RNA, 1006 nt
Organism: Eriocheir sinensis (Chinese mitten crab)
Lineage: Eukaryota; Metazoa; Arthropoda; Malacostraca; Decapoda; Varunidae
Exons: 3
Source: RefSeq, a predicted model, not a curated record